CUACGGGGCGCUGCAGUGGGGAAUCUUAGACAAUGGGGGAAACCCUGAUCUAGCCAUGCCGCGUGAGUGACGAAGGCCUUAGGGUCGUAAAGCUCUUUCGCUGGGGAAGAUAAUGACUGUACCCAGUAAAGAAACCCCGGCUAACUCCGUGCCAGCAGCCGCGGUAAUACGGAGGGGGUUAGCGUUGUUCGGAAUUACUGGGCGUAAAGCGCGCGUAGGCGGACUGGAAAGUUGGGGGUGAAAUCCCGGGGCUCAACCCCGGAACGGCCUCCAAAACUAUCAGUCUAGAGUUCGAGAGAGGGGAGUGGAAUUCCGAGUGUAGAGGUGAAAUUCGUAGAUAUUCGGAGGAACACCAGUGGCGAAGGCGGCUCACUGGCUCGAUACUGACGCUGAGGUGCGAAAGCGUGGGGAGCAAACAGGAUUAGAUACCCGAGUAGUC
RNAcentral lists this ribosomal RNA (439 nucleotides) under uncultured bacterium. Its description in RNAcentral is "partial 16S ribosomal RNA". It matches the Rfam family "Bacterial small subunit ribosomal RNA", at positions 339 to 795 of the family's 1533-position model. The record is from RNAcentral.